RNAcentral lists this transfer RNA (67 nucleotides) under Latimeria menadoensis (Menado coelacanth). RNAcentral describes it as "tRNA-Ser (AGY)". The record is from RNAcentral. Lineage: Eukaryota; Metazoa; Chordata; Coelacanthiformes; Coelacanthidae.
GAGAGAGACUGGAACACUACGAAUUGCUAAUUCUGUAGUACCAUGGUUCAACCCCAUGGCUCACUCG